UACGUAGGGGGCAAGCGUUGUCCGGAUUUAUUGGGCGUAAAGAGCGUGUAGGCGGCCAGGUAGGUCAGCUGUGAAAACUCGAGGCUUAACCUCGAGAUGUCGGCUGAAACCAUCUGGCUAGAGUCCGGAAGAGGAGAGUGGAAUUCCUGGUGUAGCGGUGAAAUGCGCAGAUAUCAGGAAGAACACCCGUGGCGAAGGCGGCUCUCUGGUACGUGACUGACGCUGAGACGCGAAAGCGUGGGGAGCGAACAGG
RNAcentral lists this ribosomal RNA (253 nucleotides) under uncultured bacterium. Its description in RNAcentral is "partial 16S ribosomal RNA". It matches the Rfam family "Bacterial small subunit ribosomal RNA", at positions 524 to 776 of the family's 1533-position model. The record is from RNAcentral.